ACAGACUGCCCACCCCAACUCACACCCUGACCAUACUAAAACAAAGACAAAACAAAGGAACUAAGAAUCUCCACAUGAGACCUGGAUGGAGUCUGAGGACAAAGUGAGGGAAAUGAUCUCGGAGAAAAUGAAGAUGGACCACAGGAAUAUUGAGGUGGAGCCGCACCCACAGGACUGGAAAACACACCACGACCCAGGAAAUGCCAACAACGAACACAACGACCUGGGGAAUAGUUACAGGGGAGAGGAGCUGAAGACUCUUCUUUGAAUCAUAGAAAUGAAUUGAAAUGACUUCGGAACUGUGCACACUUUGGAAAGGUGUGUGUCCAUUUGGAGAUACCAAUUAGCCCUCUCACUCAAAGCCUUGUAAUUUGUUUGUCUUAUCUUGCACCUACCCCACAUUUUCCAGGAAUAUUUGUAUUGUGUUACUGAAUGUAUCCAGAGUAUUUUCAGAUUUUGUUAUCAACAAAUGUGGCAAAAAGUACAGUGAAUGUAAAAUGUACAUAACAUCAAUGGCGCAAUAUUUGGAUUCAGUAUUGUGUCAGCUGAAUUGUUGUGUCCUCACUUUUGGUGUAAUAAUUUCCCCAUAAUCUCCAAACUGUUCCCUUUCCAUUGUUACCAAGGUUAUGCAUUUUCACAUAUCUUCCGCAAGAAAACAUUUCAAUGUAUCCUUAUCUGUUUAGAACAAUUCCCACGAGUAUAUAGGAUUAACCCUUGUGUAUGCCUUUCCUUACCAUGUGUAAGACUCAAUUAUUUCUGUUAUAUGUUUUGGUGCAGAUAAAGUAUGUGUUUAAUUUACUAUGCGGAUAAGAAAGUGGCUGAUCACAGAAAUGUUCAUACAAUUGUUGAAAACUACCAUCAGUCACUAAAACAGCUAAAACGUGUUCACAGUCAAAUGUAUUUCUAUUCUGAUCCUUACAAAAUAAAGAACUCAAUAUGC
Oncorhynchus tshawytscha (Chinook salmon) is the source of this 940-nucleotide long non-coding RNA. Lineage: Eukaryota; Metazoa; Chordata; Actinopteri; Salmoniformes; Salmonidae. The record is from Ensembl.